This is a long non-coding RNA of Anopheles arabiensis, 900 nucleotides long. RefSeq lists it as uncharacterized. The record is from RefSeq and is a predicted model, not a curated record. The transcript is spliced from 2 exons. NCBI's taxonomy places the organism in Eukaryota, Metazoa, Arthropoda, Insecta, Diptera, Culicidae.
CACUGUGCGAAUUGACAGCAUAGCACCAUUGUUGUUUAUAAAAUCGUUUGCUGUGUAAACAUUGCAAAUUAUCAAAUUCAGAAGCGCUUUAUACAUUAUAAACUAAGUUAUAUAAUGCCCUAUUUGAUUGCAUCUGGUAAAAUAUUCCUCGUUUACUUGCAGAUAAUUACGUACUCCCAAAUUAAACACCCGAUCGUCAAUUUAUUAUAAAAGUUGAGGCUGAUCAUCUAAAUCAAGUUUGUUCAGAACUGAAGCGGUUGAACUAAUCCCGAAAAUGACUGUAUCAAUGUAUCAAUGUAAUCACAAUUCGUGAUACCUUCAUUCAACUUUAUGGUGACAAAUAGUCAUUCCUCUUAAUAAUCGCAUAAAAACGCUUGCGGCUACAACAUUUUCUACAACAAACCUUACACGCCACACAAAGAUGUAGGUGUGAAUAUACAUUGCUGUGUGACAAGUGGUUUUUUUUUUAACUUGGACGAUUGUAUUGGUAAAGCAAAACUCUUUUCAAAAAAACAUGGAAACAGGCCAAACACGAAAAUAUUUAUACAUGGUCCAUAAUGCAAACUGGAUGGGUGGAUACUUACGAAUCAAAUUGGUCAUAAAGGCUAUAUAUAACAAAUAGCGCUAUAUGAAUAUGUCACAGUUUUUCUUAUCUUGGCUCACAGCAGCUGAUUAUAAAGAUUCGUCAUCCUUAUUUUAACUGCCCUGUAGAUUAAGAUGGUGAUCCAAUGGAGCGUUUGGUCUCAAAGCAGCUUUUGCAAACGCCGAAUACGUAGCGUUCGAUCACUUAAUCCGCAUAACCGAUAUAAAGUAGGUAAUACAGCUGUAGCUGAGGCUGGAUAACCUACGGCUUGUAACAUCUCGUACUGCUCGUUAACUCGUGAGGCGAGCAUUUAUGUA